This is a small nuclear RNA of Scleropages formosus (Asian bonytongue), 114 nucleotides long. Its record names the gene U5. It matches the Rfam family "U5 spliceosomal RNA". From Rfam's summary of the family: U5 RNA is a component of both types of known spliceosome. The precise function of this molecule is unknown, though it is known that the 5' loop is required for splice site selection and p220 binding, and that both the 3' stem-loop and the Sm site are important for Sm protein binding and cap methylation. The record is from Ensembl. Lineage: Eukaryota; Metazoa; Chordata; Actinopteri; Osteoglossiformes; Osteoglossidae.
AUACUUUGGUUUCUCUAGAAAUGGUAUAUAUGUUUUGCCUUUUACUAAAGAUUUUCUUAAAGAAGAACAAUUAUGACUAUCAACUAAUUUUUUUGAUGCCCUCCCCUUAGGAAA